GAUGAACGCUGGCGGCGUGCCUAAUACAUGCAAGUCGAGCGAACAGACGAGGAGCUUGCUCCUCUGACGUUAGCGGCGGACGGGUGAGUAACACGUGGAUAACCUACCUAUAAGACUGGGAUAACUUCGGGAAACCGGAGCUAAUACCGGAUAACAUGUUGAACCGCAUGGUUCAACAGUGAAAGACGGUUUUGCUGUCACUUAUAGAUGGAUCCGCGUCGCAUUAGCUAGUUGGUAAGGUAACGGCUUACCCAGGCAACGAUGCCUAGCCGACCUGAGAGGGUGAUCGGCCACACUGGAACUGAGACACGGUCCAGACUCCUACGGGAGGCAGCAGUAGGGAAUCUUCCGCAAUGGGCGAAAGCCUGACGGAGCAACGCCGCGUGAGUGAAGAAGGUCUUCGGAUCGUAAAACUCUGUUAUUAGGGAAGAACAAAUGUGUAAGUAACUAUGCACGUCUUGACGGUACCUAAUCAGAAAGCCACGGCUAACUACGUG
Molecule: ribosomal RNA, 497 nt
Filed under: uncultured bacterium
Lineage: Bacteria
Description: partial 16S ribosomal RNA
Rfam family: Bacterial small subunit ribosomal RNA
Source: RNAcentral